This is a long non-coding RNA of Gambusia affinis (western mosquitofish), 316 nucleotides long. RefSeq lists it as uncharacterized. NCBI's taxonomy places the organism in Eukaryota, Metazoa, Chordata, Actinopteri, Cyprinodontiformes, Poeciliidae. The transcript has 3 exons. The record is from RefSeq and is a predicted model, not a curated record.
AGUGACUUUAGCUACCUCCAGAGCCGCUGCCUCCAGCUGGCUGAACUGCUCGUACUCAUCAUCCAUAUUGUCACACAGCAGCACCAGGCGGUAUGGUGUGAAUUACUGCCCAGUCUAUGAUUUGUCCUUUUCAUGGUUGUCAAAGCACUUAAGAAAGCUUUGACCCCCGCCUCCUUUCCACGACCUCCAGCUGCCUCUCGUCAACUGGAUCCCGUGCUGACAUCUGACCAGUAGUAGCACAGCCAACAGCAGAAAGAUGAGGAUUCCCACCAGGAGGCUGAUGGCGAUGAUCCAGCCGACGACGUAACCCCUCGGC